CUCUCGUUUAGAUUGAAGGAGCUUGCUCCUGAUUGAUAAACAUUUGAGUGAGUGGCGGACGGGUGAGUAACACGUGGGUAACCUGCCCUAAAGUGGGGGAUAACAUUUGGAAACAGAUGCUAAUACCGCAUAAAACCUAACACCGCAUGGUGUAGGGUUGAAAGAUGGUUUCGGCUAUCACUUUAGGAUGGACCCGCGGUGCAUUAGUUAGUUGGUGAGGUAAAGGCUCACCAAGACCGUGAUGCAUAGCCGACCUGAGAGGGUAAUCGGCCACACUGGGACUGAGACACGGCCCAGACUCCUACGGGAGGCAGCAGUAGGGAAUCUUCCACAAUGGACGAAAGUCUGAUGGAGCAACGCCGCGUGAGUGAAGAAGGUUUUCGGAUCGUAAAACUCUGUUGUUGGAGAAGAAUGUAUCUGAUAGUAACUGAUCAGGUAGUGACGGUAUCCAACCAGAAAGCCACGGCUAACUACGUGCCAGCAGCCGCGGUAAUACGUAGGUGGCAAGCGUUGUCCGGAUUUAUUGGGCGUAAAGCGAGCGCAGGCGGUUUCUUAAGUCUGAUGUGAAAGCCUUCGGCUCAACCGAAGAAGUGCAUCGGAAACUGGGAAACUUGAGUGCAGAAGAGGACAGUGGAACUCCAUGUGUAGCGGUGAAAUGCGUAGAUAUAUGGAAGAACACCAGUGGCGAAGGCGGCUGUCUGGUCUGUAACUGACGCUGAGGCUCGAAAGCAUGGGUAGCAAACAGGAUUAGAUACCCUGGUAGUCCAUGCCGUAAACGAUGAGUGCUAGGUGUUGGAGGGUUUCCGCCCUUCAGUGCCGCAGCUAACGCAUUAAGCACUCCGCCUGGGGAGUACGACCGCAAGGUUGAAACUCAAAGGAAUUGACGGGGGCCCGCACAAGCGGUGGAGCAUGUGGUUUAAUUCGAAGCAACGCGAAGAACCUUACCAGGUCUUGACAUCCUUUGACCACUCUAGAGAUAGAGCUUUCCCUUCGGGGACAAAGUGACAGGUGGUGCAUGGUUGUCGUCAGCUCGUGUCGUGAGAUGUUGGGUUAAGUCCCGC
RNAcentral lists this ribosomal RNA (1061 nucleotides) under Lactobacillus sp. LS21c. Its description in RNAcentral is "bacterial SSU rRNA". It matches the Rfam family "Bacterial small subunit ribosomal RNA", at positions 56 to 1090 of the family's 1533-position model. Lineage: Bacteria; Bacillati; Bacillota; Bacilli; Lactobacillales; Lactobacillaceae. The record is from RNAcentral.